This 254-nucleotide ribosomal RNA is filed under the name uncultured bacterium. Its description in RNAcentral is "partial 16S ribosomal RNA". It matches the Rfam family "Bacterial small subunit ribosomal RNA", at positions 524 to 776 of the family's 1533-position model. The record is from RNAcentral.
UACGAACCGUGCGAACGUUAUUCGGAAUCAUUGGGCUUAAAGGGCGCGUAGGCGGCGGCGUAAGUUGGAAGUGAAAUCCCAUCGGCUCAACCGUGGAAUUGCUCCCAGUACUGCGUCGCUCGAGGGGGAUAGGGGUCUGCGGAACUACCGGUGGAGCGGUGAAAUGCGUAGAUAUCGGAAGGAACGCCGGUGGCGAAAGCGGCGGACUGGACCUCUUCUGACGCUGAGGCGCGAAAGCCAGGGGAGCAAACGGG